Molecule: long non-coding RNA, 199 nt
Filed under: Elaeis guineensis (African oil palm)
Lineage: Eukaryota; Viridiplantae; Streptophyta; Magnoliopsida; Arecales; Arecaceae
Description: long non-coding RNA (EGUI_LNC022743)
Source: RNAcentral
GGUGGAAAUACUGCUCUGCUUCAAAGAUUGAUUGGAUGCAGAGACGAGGCUUCGAAAUAAAGAUGGACAUUCUAAGAUUGAUUGGAUGCAGAGACGAGGCUUCAAAAUAAAGAUGGAUAUUCUACUAUAUCCUCUGACGAAGAUGACACAAACGAGACCGACAGUUGAUAGAAUUUUUAUCAAGCUAGUACAGAAGAGC